GACGUAGGGCGCGAGCGUUGUCCGGAUUUAUUGGGCGUAAAGAGCUCGUAGGCGGCUUGUCGCGUCGGUCGUGAAAGCCUGUGGCUCAACUACAGGCUUGCGGUCGAUACGGGCAGGCUGGAGUUCGGUAGGGGAGAGUGGAAUUCCUGGUGUAGCGGUGAAAUGCGCAGAUAUCAGGAGGAACACCGGUGGCGAAGGCGGGUCUCUGGGCCGAUACUGACGCUGAGGAGCGAAAGCAUGGGGAGCGAACAGG
RNAcentral lists this ribosomal RNA (253 nucleotides) under uncultured bacterium. RNAcentral's name for it is "partial 16S ribosomal RNA". It matches the Rfam family "Bacterial small subunit ribosomal RNA", at positions 524 to 776 of the family's 1533-position model. The record is from RNAcentral.